RNAcentral lists this transfer-messenger RNA (174 nucleotides) under Chloroflexota bacterium. Its description in RNAcentral is "Chloroflexi bacterium (groundwater metagenome) partial transfer-messenger RNA". It matches the Rfam family "transfer-messenger RNA", at positions 1 to 184 of the family's 374-position model. From Rfam's summary of the family: Bacterial tmRNA, also known as 10Sa RNA or SsrA, is named for its dual tRNA and mRNA-like properties. Lineage: Bacteria; Bacillati; Chloroflexota. The record is from RNAcentral.
GGGGGUGCGUGGGUUCGACAGUGGAGGUGUACUACAGAGUUGCAAGCCGAGGAUGCCGCCAGCCUCGUAAAAAAGGUGGCAAAACAUAACUGGCGAACGUGAAUUCGCUUUCGCUGCCUAAUAAUUAGGUAGUGACAUCCAACCUGACCCCACCCCGACGGGUUGGGCUUGGGU